This is a small nuclear RNA of Brassica oleracea var. oleracea, 188 nucleotides long. It matches the Rfam family "U2 spliceosomal RNA". From Rfam's summary of the family: U2 is a small nuclear RNA (snRNA) component of the spliceosome (involved in pre-mRNA splicing). Complementary binding between U2 snRNA (in an area lying towards the 5' end but 3' to hairpin I) and the branchpoint sequence (BPS) of the intron results the bulging out of an unpaired adenosine, on the BPS, which initiates a nucleophilic attack at the intronic 5' splice site, thus starting the first of two transesterification reactions that mediate splicing. NCBI's taxonomy places the organism in Eukaryota, Viridiplantae, Streptophyta, Magnoliopsida, Brassicales, Brassicaceae. The record is from Rfam.
AUACCUUUCUCGACCUUUUGGCUGAGAUCAAGUGUAGUAUCUUUUCUUAUCAGUUAAUAUCUGAUAUGUGGGCCACUGGUACGCUUGAUAUUAACUUUAUUAUUUUUGGGAAAAAGUCCACUGCACUAAGAUGGGCUUUCAAGAGUUGCCCAUGCGUUGCACCACUGUACGGCCUUGGCUCAACCCAC